This 3031-nucleotide unclassified non-coding RNA is filed under the name Portunus trituberculatus (swimming crab). RNAcentral describes it as "hyccin-like, transcript variant X9". The record is from RNAcentral. Lineage: Eukaryota; Metazoa; Arthropoda; Malacostraca; Decapoda; Portunidae.
GACAGGAAGUGGUUUGAUAAUGUUGGCUUGGUUUGUGUUGUGGUUUCACUUCAGUUUGUGCAACACUAAGGUUUGAGUGGAGGUGUUGUUGGGGAGUGUUGGGCUGUUAAGGAACACUCCAACCAGUGGAUUAUGAAAACAUUUGCCUCAUUGAUAAGAUAUAUUCUCCUAUAUUACUUCUUGGACAUUUUGCCCUCAUGGAAUGUUCAUUAGACCAGUUUCUCUCAAACUCUUCAAACUUACGGGACACUUUCACACUUCUUGGUGUGCAACAGAAUCCACAUACGACCCCCUCUCCCAAUAUUGGUAGAACACCCCACCCAAACCACAUUAAGCUAGAUCGCUGGCAACCAUGGAUGGGUUGGUGGGUGUGGUGGAGGACUGGCUGGGGGACUGUGACCAGGCCUCGGACAGCAGGCAACUGUAUGAGUGUCUGCAGAGUGAUCAGGAACGCCUCUGCCACGCCAUUUACACCCUUUGUGAUGAACGUUCCAGGUGUCCAGAAUUGUUUGAGAGUUCUGUCAAGCAACUGUUUGCUCUAGCACGCAGCAAGGAUGAAAGGCUGCGUGAGUUUGUCCUUCUCUUCUCUCCAAGUCUCCUCUACAUUUAUCUCUCAGCCAUCAGCUUGGGGGACAAAAAGGGUGUGGGCAGUGUGGAGGUGGCUCUCUUGGCACUGUACAACAUGGAGGUGCUUGAUGAACAGGGGCAGCCCAGGAUUGCGCCGUUCCGCCUGCCCACUCUUGCACGCCCCUCGGUCUUUCAUGAGCCUGAAAGCCUAGCACCAGCCUCCUUCACUGUGGGCUCCUUGCAGCGACUGGAGAUAGGAGAUACAGACUCUGUGCGGUGGGGGCCCCCCACCCAGAUGACCUCCAUCACAGCCUCCACACGACACCACUUGGCCACGGCCAUCAUGGUCGCCUUCAAUGCUCGCUUGGCCACCUUGCCCAAGAUUGCUCUUGUGCACCUCUGCAAGGCUGUUUCCAAGCUGUUGUGUCAGGGCUUCAAUCGGCCCGGCCACCACCACCGCUCCUCCUAUGGGAAUGAAAGCAGCUUUGGCCUGUACCCAAGACCCACACCCAGGAUACCUGUCACUUCGGAGCUCCUCAAGGAGUUCUUGCAUGCUGUGUACUUCGCCAUGCCAGCUGAACGCAGCCUGCAUGACCUGCCACCUAUCACCAGCAUAAGCAUGCCUCUCGCACACUUCCAUUACUCAAGCCACAAUGCCACCAGGGGAGGGGGAACGCUUUGUCCUGCCAUGAUGCCCAAUUGUGCCGGACAGUGUUACCAUAGUCCCCAUGUCAAACUGCGCAGGUUCAACGAAUUUGCCAGUUUGGGAAUACAAGCUCUGGAAGACAUACACAUGAGGGCACAAUAUGAACUGUUUGCUGAUGUUCUUCUCAUGACAAAUGGCAUCAAGAAUUCCCUCAAAGUCAACCCAAGUGGUCAGCCGAGCGAUGGUCCAAUGGGGAUCAGCGUGGCACUCACCCCUUCCACCACCACCAACACUCCGCUCUCCAAAACCUUCAUCACAAAUGCCUCCUUCAGGACCAAGAAGUUGCCAGAUGAUCUGUUAGAGUGUACUGGGGAUGAGGAGGAUCCCUUUGCCUUGGACCGGUAUGUGGAUGUUAGCCGUGACCCAACGUUCGGCCACACACUCCAGCCCAGCCAGGGUCACACUCACUCCCCUGGUCCUGCUUCCCAGCCUGCCACAUCCUCCUCCUCCUCCCGCCACACUCCUCAGAUGGGUGUCACUGCCCUUAAGAUGAUUCCAGAGUCCAAGGUCCUCAAGAGCCCAGAGUCUCGCCGCUUUGGUGACUCAGGCAGUCGGUCCUCAAGUGGCAAACAGGAGUCUGGCUCUCAGUCACCCAAAACUCACUUGCUUGACCUGCACUUGGGCCGCAGGCACAAGCGAGUACCCUCAGGGGGACAGGGAUCAGGGGAACAUGCAAAUAAAUCCAGUGAGUCUCCCAACAUGUCUCCUAGACAGAACCGAGAGGGAGCCCAGUCUCCAAAGGGAAUUCGCUUAGACUUACACAUUACCCGAAAGCAUAAGAGAUCUUUGUCUGGCAGCCAGAGUGGCUCUGAGACCCAGCAUAAUAAAGUGGGAGACUCUCCCAACCUCUCCUCUAGACCAUCAAGUGCUAGAGUUGAAGGAUCUACUCAUUCACCAAAGGCAAAUUUUUUGGAUAUACACCUCAAUCAUAGACAUAAGCGAUCCUCCUCGGGCGGGCAAGGGAUGGUCGAUUUUGUAUCGGAUAAAUUUGGUGACUCUCCAGCAACAUCUACAGAGCUGUUGACAAAAGAUACUUCUCCGACGUCUGACAAAAGAUUCAUAUCUUUCUUAAAGACACACAUCCCUUUUGUUAGCUCACAAACUCAGUCUGCAGGACUCAACUUCCGAUCUCAGGCCUCCCCCAGCAGUGCCCCAGAGGAGGAAGCUCCAGAUGCUCCUCCUAAGAGUGUCUCUACGAGGCACUCUGGUCAUGUGAGGCACUCGUCUGAGUCAGGGCCUGGACAAACCCUGCACCACCAGUCUGCUCCCUCCACACCAAGCAAGAUGGCAAACCGUCACUCUGCUGAUCUCUCAGGCCCACCCCUCAGGCCACGCAGUGUCGUGGUGGACGGCAACAGGUUCCAGGAGGACCUUUGGGACUUGUAAGAAAGACCUGACUUCCAUUUUAGGUCCACCUUUCAAACACUGCUCCAUUCAUCAGUCUUAGAUAGAUACCUUAAGAAAAACAAAAUUUGCAUUUUAGAAAGAAACCAUAUUGAUGGUUUAGCAGACUUAGAAAUCCCUUGCAUAGGAUGGCUAGAGGUGGUGUGGGGGAGGCAGGAGGAGUCACAACAGAAGUGAAGCUUGGCCAAGAGUGUGGAGCCGCAGGUUUGGUGGACUAACGACAUUCCCAUCCAGAGUACAGAAGACGACAGACCCCUCACCUCCAUCCAGGAGGAAGGGGAUGCGGGUGAGGACAAGAACAAGCCCAUCCGCACCCCUCAGGGCUCCAGCAGGGAAAAGGAUGGCAAGGAGAAA